AGGUGAAGGUGCUGAAAUGAUAAGAGUUUGAAUGGUAUGCCUAGGGACCAAAGGUGACGGCAUACGGGAUAGGUUAAGUGAAUGAAUGACAAUGAAUGAUGGUGCCGAGGGACCCAGGGUGAAGGCACAGGGAAGAGAUAGCAUGCAAAGUGAUAUAUUGGUGCCGAGGGAAUAUAUAUAUACGAAGGCACGGGAAUGUCAGAAUGCCGAGGGACAUGGUGUGAAG
RNAcentral lists this unclassified non-coding RNA (226 nucleotides) under Hevea brasiliensis (rubber tree). Lineage: Eukaryota; Viridiplantae; Streptophyta; Magnoliopsida; Malpighiales; Euphorbiaceae. The record is from RNAcentral.